GAUAUACAUUGCUUCAAUUUGGCUUUGCUAGCCAAGCAAGCUUGGGGUUUGCUGGAUAAUCCGGAAUCAUUAUGUGCUGCAAUCUUGAGAGCUAAUUAUUUCCUGAAUGGUGAUUUAAUGAAUGUAAAUCUAAAGAAGGGUUCCUUUUUUACCUGGCAAAGCAUUAUGGCGGGGGUUAAUUCUCUAAGGAAUGGUUAUAUUGUGAGUACGAAAUGGACACAAUAUUGA
RNAcentral lists this ribosomal RNA (228 nucleotides) under Triticum aestivum (bread wheat). RNAcentral describes it as "partial small subunit ribosomal RNA". The record is from RNAcentral. Lineage: Eukaryota; Viridiplantae; Streptophyta; Magnoliopsida; Poales; Poaceae.